Molecule: long non-coding RNA, 366 nt
Filed under: Triticum aestivum (bread wheat)
Lineage: Eukaryota; Viridiplantae; Streptophyta; Magnoliopsida; Poales; Poaceae
Description: long non-coding RNA (TAES_LNC023390)
Source: RNAcentral
ACGAGGGUAUCAUAUUUGGUAGUGUUGACUAACACACAUAUCAACCUAGCAUUCAUCGCAUUAUCGAUCUCGAUGGAGAAGCCCACAAAUCAAACGCGUGCAGUAGCCCUGCUGCUCUCCCAACUGUUGCUCGCGUGCUUUGCUUUUCAUGCGCAGUGUAAGUCACUAGCACAUACACAACGAAGCUAUUUGCUUUCUGAUUUUUCUCAUAUGUUUUCUUUCAUUAAUUUCUUUAGUUCGUGUUUUAAUAUACAAUUGUCAGUUUUUUUCAUUUUGUCAUUCCACAGGUCGAACCACCGAGGGCAUGGACAACAAGAAAAUCAAUAUACCAGGCGGAUUGUGCGUCCAUCAUAGGGACUGCACACC